Potamilus streckersoni is the source of this 78-nucleotide non-coding RNA. The record is from the annotation of a GenBank genome assembly. Lineage: Eukaryota; Metazoa; Mollusca; Bivalvia; Unionida; Unionidae.
GGUUAUUAUUAUUGGCUUAGUAGUUCGAGCGCCCGCCUCAGAUGCAUGAAGUCGUGGGUUCGAACCCCGGCUGAGUCA